UGUCCUUAUUCCUAUGGAAACUGUAUAUGUCUUCUUCUUGGAUGCUCUUUAUGACUUUUUAAAACCCAUAAGAGUAAUUUGGAAGUAAGUUUCUCAAAUAAAGCAAUAUUUUUACCCUUUAAAAAAAAAAAAAACAAAAACAUAAAACCGGAAACAUGGUUUUACUGGCCUUGCCUCAAUUUCUGAUGCUGCCUCCUGUUCCUGGAAGCUGCCUGCAGGGAGGGUUCACAGGUAGAGACCAAAGUAGGGCUAAGCACGAGCCACCUUAAGGUAACCUUGGAUCUGAGA
Molecule: small nucleolar RNA, 288 nt
Organism: Physeter macrocephalus (sperm whale)
Lineage: Eukaryota; Metazoa; Chordata; Mammalia; Artiodactyla; Physeteridae
Source: Ensembl